This 1677-nucleotide ribosomal RNA is filed under the name Salmonella enterica subsp. enterica serovar Paratyphi B str. ATCC 8759. RNAcentral's name for it is "bacterial LSU rRNA". It matches the Rfam family "Bacterial large subunit ribosomal RNA", at positions 1272 to 2925 of the family's 2925-position model. Lineage: Bacteria; Pseudomonadati; Pseudomonadota; Gammaproteobacteria; Enterobacterales; Enterobacteriaceae. The record is from RNAcentral.
GCUGGAGGUAUCAGAAGUGCGAAUGCUGACAUAAGUAACGAUAAAGCGGGUGAAAAGCCCGCUCGCCGGAAGACCAAGGGUUCCUGUCCAACGUUAAUCGGGGCAGGGUGAGUCGACCCCUAAGGCGAGGCCGAAAGGCGUAGUCGAUGGGAAACGGGUUAAUAUUCCCGUACUUGGUGUUACUGCGAAGGGGGGACGGAGAAGGCUAUGUUGGCCGGGCGACGGUUGUCCCGGUUUAAGCGUGUAGGUGUGUGUUCCAGGUAAAUCCGGUUCACUUUAACACUGAGGCGUGAUGACGAGGCACUACGGUGCUGAAGCAACAAAUGCCCUGCUUCCAGGAAAAGCCUCUAAGCAUCAGGUAACAUCAAAUCGUACCCCAAACCGACACAGGUGGUCAGGUAGAGAAUACCAAGGCGCUUGAGAGAACUCGGGUGAAGGAACUAGGCAAAAUGGUGCCGUAACUUCGGGAGAAGGCACGCUGACACGUAGGUGAAGUGAUUUACUCACGGAGCUGAAGUCAGUCGAAGAUACCAGCUGGCUGCAACUGUUUAUUAAAAACACAGCACUGUGCAAACACGAAAGUGGACGUAUACGGUGUGACGCCUGCCCGGUGCCGGAAGGUUAAUUGAUGGGGUCAGCGCAAGCGAAGCUCCUGAUCGAAGCCCCGGUAAACGGCGGCCGUAACUAUAACGGUCCUAAGGUAGCGAAAUUCCUUGUCGGGUAAGUUCCGACCUGCACGAAUGGCGUAAUGAUGGCCAGGCUGUCUCCACCCGAGACUCAGUGAAAUUGAACUCGCUGUGAAGAUGCAGUGUACCCGCGGCAAGACGGAAAGACCCCGUGAACCUUUACUAUAGCUUGACACUGAACAUUGAGCCUUGAUGUGUAGGAUAGGUGGGAGGCUUUGAAGUGUGGACGCCAGUCUGCAUGGAGCCGACCUUGAAAUACCACCCUUUAAUGUUUGAUGUUCUAACGUGGACCCGUAAUCCGGGUUGCGGACAGUGUCUGGUGGGUAGUUUGACUGGGGCGGUCUCCUCCUAAAGAGUAACGGAGGAGCACGAAGGUUGGCUAAUCCUGGUCGGACAUCAGGAGGUUAGUGCAAUGGCAUAAGCCAGCUUGACUGCGAGCGUGACGGCGCGAGCAGGUGCGAAAGCAGGUCAUAGUGAUCCGGUGGUUCUGAAUGGAAGGGCCAUCGCUCAACGGAUAAAAGGUACUCCGGGGAUAACAGGCUGAUACCGCCCAAGAGUUCAUAUCGACGGCGGUGUUUGGCACCUCGAUGUCGGCUCAUCACAUCCUGGGGCUGAAGUAGGUCCCAAGGGUAUGGCUGUUCGCCAUUUAAAGUGGUACGCGAGCUGGGUUUAGAACGUCGUGAGACAGUUCGGUCCCUAUCUGCCGUGGGCGCUGGAGAACUGAGGGGGGCUGCUCCUAGUACGAGAGGACCGGAGUGGACGCAUCACUGGUGUUCGGGUUGUCAUGCCAAUGGCACUGCCCGGUAGCUAAAUGCGGAAGAGAUAAGUGCUGAAAGCAUCUAAGCACGAAACUUGCCCCGAGAUGAGUUCUCCCUGAGACUUAGAGUCUCCUGAAGGAACGUUGAAGACGACGACGUUGAUAGGCCGGGUGUGUAAGCGCAGCGAUGCGUUGAGCUAACCGGUACUAAUGAACCGUGAGGCUUAACCUUAC